Lycium ferocissimum is the source of this 885-nucleotide long non-coding RNA. RefSeq lists it as uncharacterized. NCBI's taxonomy places the organism in Eukaryota, Viridiplantae, Streptophyta, Magnoliopsida, Solanales, Solanaceae. The transcript is spliced from 4 exons. The record is from RefSeq and is a predicted model, not a curated record.
AGAUUUACAUCAUCUACCAGAUGAAUUUAAGCUGUCUGAUGAUAUGGAGCUUCUCUUUGAAUAUUUCGAAUCUGAGUAGCCUCAAAGGCGAUGACCGUUGUUUGAAAUAAUACAGCAACUUGUCUCUGGUGAUGGACUCUCAAACUGUAGAUCAUAUGGAGAUCCAUCUAUCCUACAUACAGUGAGCUUACACGUCCUGCAUCCUCAUUCCUGGUUUUCGGUUGCAUGGUACCCCAUUUAUAGGAUACCCGAUGGCAAUUUGCGUGCUGCUUUCUUGACUUAUCAUUCACUUGGUCAUUUUAUUCACAAAGACCAGACACUAAAAGCCCACAGUGUAGAUGCCUGUGUAGUUUCUCCAAUCGUAGGCCUCCAAAGCUACAACGCUCAGGGUGAAUGCUGGUUUCAGCCAAGGCAAUCUGCUGACGACCUGACAAAACAAUCCUUGGAUAUGGACCUUCAUACAGUUCUGAGAGAUCGACUAAGAACAUUGGAGCAGACAGCAUCUAUUAUGUCACGAGCUGUUACAAAGUUUGGAAAUGACAUGCUCGUGAACAAACAUCCUGAUUAUGAGUUUUUCCUAUCCAGGCUAUGCUAAUUGCUUCUGAUCCUUGUAUUUUCUGUUUGUAAGUUGGUACUCUCUGUAUAUAGCUUAGCGUACUGAUAGGGUCCCCUUUUCAGGAUUGAAAGUAGUGCUUACUGGUUACAGUUAGAACUUAUCGGUGCUUCUUCUUCUAAGUUCUGAAGUCUGAUAUUUGUAGCUUAGAGUUUCGUAAUUCAGCUGUUGUACAUAUUUAGACUCUUGUCUAGUUGGAAUCAAAGAAUGUAGCGUGUAUGAGAUGGUUGUUACGGAUAUAAAGUCAGUACGGUAUUAUUUUUGUGUUUUAA